GACGUAGGGCGCGAGCGUUGUCCGGAUUUAUUGGGCGUAAAGAGCUCGUAGGCGGCUUGUCGCGUCGGCUGUGAAAUCCCGUGGCUCAACUGCGGGUCUGCAGCCGAUACGGGCAGGCUAGAGUUCGGUAGGGGAGACUGGAAUUCCUGGUGUAGCGGUGAAAUGCGCAGAUAUCAGGAGGAACACCGAUGGCGAAGGCAGGUCUCUGGGCCGUUACUGACGCUGAGGAGCGAAAGCGUGGGGAGCGAACAGG
This 253-nucleotide ribosomal RNA is filed under the name uncultured bacterium. RNAcentral describes it as "partial 16S ribosomal RNA". It matches the Rfam family "Bacterial small subunit ribosomal RNA", at positions 524 to 776 of the family's 1533-position model. The record is from RNAcentral.